UGGAAAAAUGUCAAAAAAAUCACCAACUUUCAAAUUUGGGACGAUUUAAUCUUGAACUUCACAAAAGACAAAUAAUUCGUAAAGUUUUUGUUGACUUUCUAGAUAAAUGACAAAGUUUUUGUUGACUUGCCAUUUGAGUCAUGUCGUUAAAUAGGUUAACAAUUUUUUUUACGAUGUUAAUGUUCCGUUUAUCUGCUCUAUUAAAACAAAACGACAUCGUCUACUUCAACUUCCUUCUUCCGUUUUCUCUUCUUUCGAUUUGAUUUGGGCUGAGAAACAUCGUUCGUCUCCUCGCCAGAUGGGAUUCGAAUCGAUUCCGCUUCUGUAGGAUUUGAGAUAAUGAAAUCAAUUUGGUGAUUUAGGGUUUAAAUUUGUUUCAACAGACAAAACGACGUCAUUUAUCUCUACAAUAAACGACAUCGUUUUGUUCUAAUAGAGCAGAUAAACGGAACAUUAACAUCGUAAAAAAAAUUGUUA
RNAcentral lists this small RNA (477 nucleotides) under Arabidopsis thaliana (thale cress). RNAcentral describes it as "ATSL282450". Lineage: Eukaryota; Viridiplantae; Streptophyta; Magnoliopsida; Brassicales; Brassicaceae. The record is from RNAcentral.